Long non-coding RNA from Rhinolophus ferrumequinum (greater horseshoe bat), 1300 nucleotides. RefSeq lists it as uncharacterized. The transcript has 3 exons. The record is from RefSeq and is a predicted model, not a curated record. Lineage: Eukaryota; Metazoa; Chordata; Mammalia; Chiroptera; Rhinolophidae.
GCACAGGGAAGGGACACAGUGGGCCCGGGGCAACCAGCACAGCCCCUGCCUCCAGCACAACCCCUGCACCAGCCCCCACGAAAGGGGCUGAGUUUCUCCUGCAAAGUCUCCAGCCUGAGUUCUGGCCACUCCAGAGCCACGGGCACUGUCUCCACCUUGCCUGUGGUACAAAGCUUUGUUCCGUUUCUCUGGGAUCCCACAGGAGGGGGCCCUCCCAGUUGGGACUGGGAAUGUCUCAGGAACAGCCCUGGCCACCUGGGAAUCUUUAACUGGCAACAUGCCAGACGGCGGACACUUGGAAUGUUUCGACUGUGGCCCUUCUUGGUGGUGGGCAUUUCACUGUCUUCAAUUACAGGCACUUCAGCAAUGGACACCUCUGGAAGCCUUCGGCCGGGGACAUUUUAAUCAAUGGCAUUAGGGAAAAUCUUCAACUGGGACCGUUCUAAAGGAUGGACGAUUCUAGAACUCUUCAGCUGUGACUGUUCUAACGAGUGGGCCAUUCUGGGACUUUCCACCGCGGAACAAAGGACACCACGGGAGCUUCACGCUGGAAGCAACGGUCCCUCCCACGCUGGACCUUUGGUUAUUGGUACUUCUGAAACUCUCCCACUACGGCCAUCCGGAGAAAGUAUGAGAGUUCCAGAGGCGAUCGCCCGAUUUCUGAAAUUUCUUCGACUGUCACUACUAGAUGCCAGAGUCCAGGGGUCUCCCAGCCUCCUGUACUGCAGCUCAUACUGAAGCUUGCCCUUGAGGGCGAAGGACUCAUAAUUGGAGCUCCAGGAGAUGUUAUAAUGUCCCGAGAAGGUCACGGUCACGUUGAAAGGAGGAGAUGGUUUGACUAAAAGGAAAAAGCCAGAAAGAUAAGACGGAGAUUCAGGCUUUGAACAAGACCACCCUCCAGGACGUGUGGAUUCAGAUCUCUGUUAAAUAUUUGUUGGCACAGAAACUUCUCCUGCGUGAAUGCUCUCCAAGCCUCUGGCCUGGACCACUGGCUGUUUGGCGGCGCCCUGGCCUUGCCAGCCCUCCCUGCAAUCCAUCCCACUUGCACAGCAGCCAGAGGCAUAGUUAAAAACCCCCUGUCCCUCCCCUGCCUGAAACCCUGCGAUAGCUUCUCAUCACCACACAACAGAAUCGGGUCCCUGCCAAGCUCUCACCUCCUUUGCUUGUUAUUCUCCCUCAGGCUGGCUCACUCCCGCCACGGCCACACAGACCUCCUCACCAUUCCUCAAACUCACCAUCACUUCCUGCCUCAGGGCCUUUGCAUGUGCAGCGCCCGCUGCUUGGAAUGCCCUUUCAGCAG